ACGCACGCUGGCGGCAUGCCUAACACAUGCAAGUCGAACGGGACCUUCGGGUCUUGUGGCGCACGGGUGCGUAACGCGUGGGAACCUGCCCUUAGGUUCGGAAUAACUCCCCGUAAGGGGUGCUAAUACCGGAUAAUGUCUUCGGACCAAAGAUUUAUCGCCUUUGGAUGGGCCCGCGUUGGAUUAGCUAGUUGGUAGGGUAAAAGCCUACCAAGGCGACGAUCCAUAGCUGGGCUGAGAGGAUGACCAGCCACACUGGGACUGAGACACGGCCCAGAUCCCUACGGGAGGCAGCAGUGGGGAAUAUUGGACAAUGAGCGAAAGCCUGAUCCAGCAAUGCCGCGUAAGUGAUGAAGGCCUUAGGGUUGUAAAGCUCUUUUAACCGGGAUGAUAAUGACAGUACCGGGAGAAUAAGCUCCGGCUAACUCCGUG
This 432-nucleotide ribosomal RNA is filed under the name uncultured bacterium. Its description in RNAcentral is "partial 16S ribosomal RNA". It matches the Rfam family "Bacterial small subunit ribosomal RNA", at positions 29 to 507 of the family's 1533-position model. The record is from RNAcentral.